Molecule: transfer RNA, 59 nt
Filed under: Gongylonema pulchrum
Lineage: Eukaryota; Metazoa; Nematoda; Chromadorea; Rhabditida; Gongylonematidae
Description: tRNA-Trp
Source: RNAcentral
GUAGGUUUAGGUUAAAUUUUUAAACUGUUAGUUUUCAAAACUAAAUAUUUUAUCCUGUU